RNAcentral lists this ribosomal RNA (499 nucleotides) under uncultured bacterium. RNAcentral describes it as "partial 16S ribosomal RNA". It matches the Rfam family "Bacterial small subunit ribosomal RNA", at positions 28 to 507 of the family's 1533-position model. The record is from RNAcentral.
GACGAACGCUGGCGGCGUGCCUAAUACAUGCCAGUCGAGCGGACUUUCAAGAAGCUUGCUUUUUGAAAGUUAGCGGCGGACGGGUGAGUAACACGUGGGCAACCUGCCUGCAAGACGGGGAUAACUCCGGGAAACCGGGGCUAAUACCGGAUAAUAUCUUCCUUCGCAUGAAGGAAGGUUGAAAGGCGGCGCAAGCUGCCGCUUGCAGAUGGGCCCGCGGCGCAUUAGCUAGUUGGUGAGGUAACGGCUCACCAAGGCGACGAUGCGUAGCCGACCUGAGAGGGUGAGCGGCCACACUGGGACUGAGACACGGCCCAGACGCCUACGGGAGGCAGCAGGAGGGAAUCUUCCGCAAGGGGCGAAAGGCUGACGGAGAAACGCCGCGUGAGCGAAGAAGGGCUUCGGAUCGGAAAGCUCGGUUGUCAGGGAAGAACAAGUACCGUUCGAACAGGGCGGUACCUUGACGGUACCUGACCAGAAAGCCACGGCUAACUACGUG